Molecule: ribosomal RNA, 297 nt
Filed under: uncultured Alphaproteobacteria bacterium
Lineage: Bacteria; Pseudomonadati; Pseudomonadota; Alphaproteobacteria
Description: partial 16S ribosomal RNA
Rfam family: Bacterial small subunit ribosomal RNA
Source: RNAcentral
UAGUGAGUUUGUAUCCUCGGCGUCAGAACGGAACGCUAGGCGGCAUGCCUAACACAUGCAAGUCGAACGAAGCCUUCGGGCUUAGUGGCGCACGGGUGCGUAACGCGUGGGAAUCUGCCCUUGGGUUCGGAAUAACAGUUAGAAAUGACUGCUAAUACCGGGAUGUGCCGAAAGGUGAAAGAUUAAUUGCCAGAAGAAGAGCUCGCGUCUGAUUAGCUAGAUGGUGGUGUAAGGGACUACCGAUGGCGACGAUCUGUAGCUGGUCUGAGAGGACGAACAGCCACACUGGAACUGACG